UGAUCGGCGGGGCGAGAGGGGGGUGGAGGACGGGGGAGCAGAGAGUUAUCCGGAGUUGUUGGGUUUAAAGGGUGCGUAGGCGGAAGAAUGAGGCAGUUGUGAAAGUUUGCAGCUCAACUGUAAGAUGGCCAUUGAAACUGCUGUGCUUGAGUACAGGAGAUGUAGGCGGAAUGUGGAGUGUAGCGGUGAAAUGCAUAGAUAUUACACAGAACACCGAUUGCGUAGGCAGCUUACUGGAGUGUAACUGACGCUGAGGCACGAUAGCGUGGGGAUCAAACAGGAUUAGAUACCCGAGUAGUC
Molecule: ribosomal RNA, 300 nt
Filed under: uncultured Methanobrevibacter sp.
Lineage: Archaea; Methanobacteriati; Methanobacteriota; Methanobacteria; Methanobacteriales; Methanobacteriaceae
Description: bacterial SSU rRNA
Rfam family: Bacterial small subunit ribosomal RNA (bases 52-300)
Source: RNAcentral